Molecule: long non-coding RNA, 325 nt
Filed under: Fukomys damarensis (Damara mole-rat)
Lineage: Eukaryota; Metazoa; Chordata; Mammalia; Rodentia; Bathyergidae
Description: lncRNA (ENSFDAG00000025250.1)
Source: RNAcentral
GUGGCUUGUGAGCCUGAUUCACAAACAGGGGUCUGGGCAGGACACCCACCCUUAACACUCAUCUCCAGACAAGAAUUGAGAGCUGCACAUGUGAUAAGACACCAGUGCACAGGACAAAACAAAGAUGGGCAGCCAAAGAAAGCAGAUGCUUCGAUUGAACAAAGUCACUGGGUAAAGAUUUGCAUAUGGGCUACCUCAGAGCAGCAAAACUUCUCUAAAUAUGCAGGCCCAACAGAGGAUCUGCACACUGACUGUAAAAGGUGUGCUUAAAUUGCACAGAGCUUUGGGGAAACCAAUCCUGCCCAGCGAGUCACCGUGAGAUGCC